CCACCUGCUAGCUACAUCAAGAGAAAUUACGUCAAAAUUCAGCUUGGGGGAGAGCACCCCCAUUUAUCUCACUAAGUAUUUCUACCUAUCUUUAUACUUAUAUUAUAUUAGAAUAUUAAAAUACAUAAACUAUGAAAAAACCAAAUAAAGAUUUUGUGCUUAUAUGUAUAUCUUUUGCUUAGUGUGUUUAAUAAAUAAAUAAAGUGGCUAUGCUAAUCUGAAUCUUAAUAAUAAAACUCUAGCAUGGAUAUGAUGAAUAGUUGCUCUGCCUAAUUUGUAAAUUUGAAGUUCUCUCUCAAGUUUAGACAUAACUGUUAUAAUUUAAAGCUUGCUCUAGAUCUAAACUUGUGGGAUGAAAACUUGAUCUGAAAUCUAAGUUGUUAACGGAUAUGAUAUGGGAAGGUUGAGCUGCUGUUUAUCUGUUCCUAGAGAUGCUAGAAUUCUGGAGAAUUUUAUCUUUGAAAAAUCUUUAAAAUAUUGCAUGAUGAGUUCCUGUAUGAUGAAAGUUUAAAUUCCUACCACAGCCAUAUAUACAUGCUUGCUAGAUUUUGAGCCACACAUUUAUUAUUUACUGCUUAUGAGCAUUGAGUGUGGUCAAGCUGUGUAGACCCUUAGGAGCUUGUCAUGUGGUUAAAUCAAGAUUUCACUUGCACGUUCACUCAUAUAUAUGCUACUUCUACUCCGGAAGUACCAUCCAUAUAUAUCCAUCCAUUUCCAUCUCCAAAAUCACCUAAAAAUAUUCUACUCCUAAUUCGGGAGAGAAUAGCCAAAAAUAUUUUCCUAUCCCUGUUAUUCCCUGUGAAAUAAAUGCUCCAGUUAUUUUGGUUACUACCACUUGCUACAUUAUUUCAGGAGAUGAGUGCUCUGAAAAAAAAGAGAAGAAAAGAAAAAAAAUAAUAAUAAACGAGGAAAUAAAAAGGGGCAAGUGCCCGGAACCUCGAAAGAAAGAAAAAGUGAGACGAGAGGUAAAAAUGGACAAGUGUCCGACAGUAGAAUUAGGGGUACAAGAUACCCACCUGAGAGGAAAGAAAAAGAAGAGCAUCUCAUUCUCCUCAUAAAGUUUCAAAAAGCAAGGAAGGUAUGUAUCCCCUCAAAAGAGCAAAAGUAGAAUUAGACUUUCACCAUUGCUAUCACCAUCAUCACCAUACACUAUUCAUUCGCCACACAUGCACAUCUUGAUUUGGCUUAUUGAUUUGUUUCUUUGGAUCCAUGGUUUGACUAUACAAUAAAUGUCUUGUAAGUAUGUAUAUUUUAUCUCCCACCUAUGAGCUCCAGAUAUUAAAGCCUUAUUAGAGUAGGGUGAGAGAGAAGACAAUGUCACUAUCCCUUAUACCACAAAUACCACAUAUUUUGAGAGAAGGCAUAUACCAUCACUGCCUUGGUAUGGAUCCAGAAAUACCACAAAAGAGAGAUAUAAGAGAGUCAUACAAAGGAAUCUCUGAGUUUUAUUUGAAAAUCUGCAAAAACUCCAGAGCUAUAGCUGAUCAAGAAUAGGCGACAUGGCACUUGACUGGACUGUUCUAUCUUUUAACCACUCAAGACAAAAGUGACGGUUACAAGUCCCAUGGUGAAAGGUAAAGUAAGUAAGUUUUAAGUCUUGACAGUUUACUCUAACUC
RNAcentral lists this long non-coding RNA (1617 nucleotides) under Sorghum bicolor (sorghum). RNAcentral's name for it is "long non-coding RNA (SBIC_LNC016231)". The record is from RNAcentral. Lineage: Eukaryota; Viridiplantae; Streptophyta; Magnoliopsida; Poales; Poaceae.